UACGAAGGGGGCUAGCGUUGCUCGGAAUCACUGGGCGUAAAGCGCACGUAGGCGGACUCUUAAGUCAGGGGUGAAAUCCUGGAGCUCAACUCCAGAACUGCCUUUGAUACUGAGAGCCUUGAGUCCGGAAGAGGUAAGUGGAACUGCGAGUGUAGAGGUGAAAUUCGUAGAUAUUCGCAAGAACACCAGUGGCGAAGGCGGCUCACUGGCCCGGUACUGACGCUGAGGUGCGAAAGCGUGGGGAGCAAACAGG
This 253-nucleotide ribosomal RNA is filed under the name uncultured bacterium. Its description in RNAcentral is "partial 16S ribosomal RNA". It matches the Rfam family "Bacterial small subunit ribosomal RNA", at positions 524 to 776 of the family's 1533-position model. The record is from RNAcentral.